RNAcentral lists this long non-coding RNA (11564 nucleotides) under Capsicum annuum. Its description in RNAcentral is "long non-coding RNA (CANN_LNC008515)". Lineage: Eukaryota; Viridiplantae; Streptophyta; Magnoliopsida; Solanales; Solanaceae. The record is from RNAcentral.
AGAAAAGUUAUUUGUCUGGAAAAGAGAUAAUGUCAAGGUAGUAGGACACCCUUUCCUAUUAAAAAGCUAGUGCCGUACCUGGACUAACUUCUUGGAGAAUUCGUACCGUUAGUCACGCUUUAAGCUCGAGAGAGUUAAAGUGAAAUAGUCCUUGUUUAGGUCGAGAGACGCUUGGAUUUACCAUCGACUACAAUUCUCUAUAAGCAAUUACAUGUCAAGACUCUACACACUCAUAGCCAAUAGAGACGUAUACCUCAGAAGGUGGACAUAACCCCAACGCCUCAAUUCUCAUUGUUUACAACACACGUGACAAUCUCUCUUUAUUUUGCUAUUUUCAGUUCUUACAUUCUUGUUUUGGUUACAUACUACAAUCCCCCCUUUCCUACGAGACUUGCACUAAAAGUCUAGUAAUUUCUCUUGCUUGUUGGCCAAGCUAUUCUCUGUGGGAUCGAUACCCAACCCAGGUUGGGUUCUAUAUUUGCUAACGACCGCUUUACACUCCCACGAGAGCUGUAGAUUGAGCGUUAUCAAAAAUUGGCGCCGUUGCCGGGGAAUACGAGUGUCAAUCAAGUUCGUGAAAAUUACUAGACCCUUUGGUCAAAGAUUCUCGUACUUUUACGUUUAGUUUUUGUUUUUGUUUAUUGCAGGUUUUUCUUUUAGUGCAUGCCCCAUACUAGAAGUUCUGGUCAACCGUUAUUACCAAUCAAUCCGGAACCACAACGAAUCAGAAGAAUGGAAGCACAAGCGGAAAUCGACAGGAUGGCUGCUCAACAUGAGCAAGCAAGAUUAGCUGCUCUUGCCGCUGCUCAAGUCCAACAACAAAACAUUGAUAAUCCUGGACGAGCAACAAAUCCUGACGAUGAAGAUUUAGGAGAUGACGAGUUGAUCAACCCAAGGCAUGGCGCUGAAAUGGCAACACCUACCAACAGACGAGGUCGACAAGCUCGGUACAGAUAUGAUCGCCAACCUUUGCAACCAGCUUUCGACGAUGAUGAUGAUGAUCUUGAUGGUGCCGGAGCCACUGGAGCUAUAAUUCCACCACCAUUAGCGCCCGGAGCCAAGUUCAACAUCACUAGCACCAUGAUUCAGUUAUUGCAACUCAAGGGAUUAUUUGGUGGACUAGCAGGCGAUGAUCCGAAUAUGCAUCUCAUCAACUUUAUUUCUACAUGCAAGUCUUUUGACAAUCCUGGAGUUGGUCAGAAUGCUAUUCGAUUACGUCUAUUUCCAUUGUCUCUGUCUGGGGAGGCAACAUUAUGGUUGAAUGGGCUGACUCCUGAUUCUAUUACAAAUUGGAGGCAAUUGAGAGACGCUUUCCUAGAAAGAUUCUUUCCGCCAUCCAAGAGGGCUCAAUUGAGAGAUGAAAUCAGCAACUUUCGUCAGCUUCCCUCUGAAGCUCUUCACGAAACAUGGGAGAGGUUCAAGACAAAGCUAGCGAGAUGCCCAAACCAUCACAUGACUAAUGUUCACCUCAUGGAGAUCUUAUAUAGAGCCUUGAAUUCAGUAACUAAACCAGUGGUGGACAACGCAGCUGGAGGUUCUUUUAUGGACCUCACCUUUGGUCAAGCAAGCAACAUGCUAGAUCGUAUGACGAAACAAAGUAGAGCUUGGCAUACCAGGGAUUCUGAGGUAGCAAGCCCCACUUUAUCUAUUGGCAUGUCUGCAGAUCAAAGAAGGAGAGAAGAAGAACGUGAUCAAGAUAUGGCGCACAUGAAAACCCAAAUGGAUCUUCUUACAAAGCAUCUAUUAGGGAAGACUGAAAAAGUGAAAUCUAUUGCGUCAAAAGGAAGAGACGAAUCUGAUUCAGAAGAGGAGGCCAACUACUUGAACAAUCAGGGGGGUUUCCGUGGGAAUGCCCAAGGAAACCAAGGUCGGAACUAUUAUGACAAAUCUGGAGGUAAAGACCAAGGUAGUUGGAAGAAAAAUAAUGAAAACAGUGGUUUGUACGUUCCCCCUGGUAGACGUGAUACCACCACAUCUAAUUCUAUGGAAGACAUGAUGGCUAAGUUAUUGAAAGGAGUGGAAGCGACGAAUGCGGGAGUUAAGGAGGUGAUUGACGAUUUGGCCUCCAUGAAGCAAUUAGUUGAUUCUCAUUCCACUUCUAUCAAGCAACUAGAGCAGCAAUUCAGUCAACUUUCAGCAACACUCAACCAAAGAAAAGCCGGCACCUUGCCUAGCGAUACGGUGCAAAAUCCAAGGACUGAUGGGUCAUGCAUGGCCAUCACUACGAGGAGUGGUAAGGUGCUGGAAACUUCAGCAGAAGGCAAGCAAAUAGUUGACAGAACAGCAGACACAACCGCCACACCUAGUGACGCCACUAGGGAAGACGCCGCAAUAUCCACUUCCAACGUCAAGGACGUGUUGCCUAGUGACGUGCAGCCUGAAAAAAGUAAUAAACGGAAGCAAGAGGAGAAGAAAGCCAUGGAAAGAACACUUCCAUACCCACCACCACCUUUUCCACAAAGACUGAAGAAGGCGGCCGAUGACACUAAGUUCAGCAAGUUCAUGACCAUCUUGAAGCAGCUGACUAUUAAUGUCCCAUUGGUAGAGGCACUUGAACAAAUGCCUGGGUAUGCGAAGUUUAUGAAAGAUCUUUUGACUAAGAAGAGGGCAGCAAGCUAUGAGCUGAAAGAAGAUGUGCAUCAUUGUAGUGCAAUAGCUACCCGAUCCAUAGUUCAGAAGAAGGCCGACCCCGGAGCUUUCACUAUUCCUUGCACCGUCGGAUCUUUGGACUUUGCUAAAGCAUUAUGUGACUUAGGAGCCAGCAUCAACUUGAUGCCAUUAUCAAUCUACAAGAAGUUGGGGUUGGGAGAUCCUACACCAACUAAUAUGAAGCUUGUUAUGGCGGAUAGGUCGGUAAAACGACCGGUUGGUAUUCUAUGCGAUGUCUUGGUGAAGGUAUCUUCAUUCAUAUUUCCAGCAGACUUUGUCAUCUUGGAUUGCGAAGCAGAUUCAGAGGUUCCCAUAAUCUUGGGACGCCCUUUCCUUGCUACGGGAAGUGUGCUCAUAGAUUUGAGAGCUAAUGAACUUUCAUUCCGAAUAAAUGAUGAAGUGGUGCGCUUUGAUGUUUGCAAAUCAAUGAAGCAACCCAAAGAUCUAAGUGUAUUUUCUGUGACUGAUGUUGUCGUUGAUGACGAGGAUGAGUUACUUGCUGAAGAACAAAUUCUUGAUGAUCCUUUGGAGGUUUUGCUCAUGGAAGAAGAUGAUGAUGAUGCUGAAAUUUCUGAAGAUGAUAUUUGUGCUCUAUCGGGAUUAGGAGCAUAUCGCUAUCCUCCUAAGAAGCUGGAUAUUGAUCUCAAGAAUCGACCCACACCACCAGCUAAGCCAUCUAUUGAAGAACCACCCACAUUAGAAUUAAAGGAGCUGCCAAGCCAUUUGAAGUAUGCAUUCUUAGGAAGCGGAAACACUCUUCCAGUCAUAGUGGCAGCCGAUUUAGGUGAGCAACAAGUUGCAGCUCUUAUUGCAAUUUUACGCAAGUAUAUUAGAGCUAUUGGAUGGACCAUUGCGGAUAUCCUUGGUAUUCCACCUGGAAUUUGCACUCAUAAAAUUCAGCUCCAAGAAAAGUGCACACCCACCAUCGAACACCAAAGACGUCUAAACCCACCAAUGCAAGAGGUGGUGAAGAAGGAGAUUAUCAAGUGGUUAGACGCAGGAGUUGUGUAUCCUAUUUCUGAUAGUACAUGGGUAAGCCCAGUACAAUGUGUUCCCAAGAAAGGAGGUAUGACGGUGGUUGCGAAUGCAAAGAAUGAGCUUAUUCCACUCAGGCCCGUCACUGGAUGGAGAGUAUGCAUGGACUACCGCAAGCUGAAUUCUUGGACUCUCAAGGAUCACUUCCCCAUGCCAUUUAUGGACCAAAUGCUAGAUCGAUUAGCGGGAAAAGGAUGGUUUUGCUUUCUUGAUGGUUAUUCAGGUUAUAAUCAGAUUUUUAUUGCACCAGAAGACCAAGAGAAGACAACGUUUACAUGCCCAUAUGGUACGUUUGCCUUCAAACGUAUGCCAUUCGGGUUAUGUAAUGCACCAGCCACCUUUCAGCGAUGUAUGAUGUCUAUUUUCUCUGAUAUGGUAGAAGACACUUUGGAGGUAUUUAUGGACGACUUUUCAGUUGUUGGGGAGUCUUUCGAAGCAUGUUUGGUGAAUUUAAGCAUGGCAUUACAAAGAUGUGUAGAGUUCAACCUUGUGCUGAAUUGGGAGAAGUGCCACUUCAUGGUAAAAGAAGGAAUUGUUCUUGGGCACAAGAUCUCCGAAAAAGGAAUAGAGGUUGAUCGCGCCAAAAUAGAGGUAAUUGAGAAGCUACCACCUCCAAUUUCGGUGAAGGGAGUUCGUAGUUUUCUUGGCCAUGCUGGGUUUUAUCGUAGAUUCAUCAAAGACUUCUCCAAAAUUUCUAGUCCAUUAUGCAAGCUAUUGGAGAAAGAUGCGAAGUUUGACUUUAAUGAUGAUUGCUUAAAGGCAUUUGAAUGCCUUAAAGAAAAACUCGUUGAAGCCCCUAUCAUGGUAACACCAGAUUGGACGCUCCCGUUCGAAGUCAUGUGUGAUGCUAGUGGUGUAGCCGUUGGUGCUGUUCUUGGACAGAGAAAGGAGAAAUUAUUUCAUCCUAUCUACUAUGCGAGUAAGGUCCUCAAUGAAGCCCAAAGGAACUACACCGUCACUGAACAAGAGCUAUUAGCGGUUGUGUAUGCGUUUGAGAAGUUCCGCGCCUACCUAUUAGGUACUAAAGUGAUCGUUCAUACAGACCAUGCAGCUCUUAGGUAUCUAAUGACAAAGAAGGAUGCAAAACCAAGGCUGAUUCGAUGGGUGUUGCUGCUGCAAGAGUUUGAUUUCGAAGUCAAAGAUAGAAGAGGUUGCGAGAACCAAGUGGCUGAUCACCUAUCUAGACUUGAGAAUGAGUAUGUGGCGCAAUCAGAAAAUCAGAUUGGCGAUGCAUUCCCUGACGAGGAGAUAUUAGCGACAACAAUAGAAGACUUACCAUGGUAUGCCGACUUUGCGAAUUUCGUGGUGAGUAAUGUGUUACCUACAAAUUUAUCUUACCACCAGAGGAGGAAGUUUAUGCAUGACGUUCAGCACUAUUAUUGGGAUGAGCCUUAUUUGUUUCGAAGAUGUGCGGAUGGUAUCAUUCGACGAUGUAUAUCCCAUGACGAAGUGCCCACUAUAUUAGAAGCAUGCCACACUUCGCAAGUUGGAGGACAUCAUGCGGGUAAUCGAACAGCAAGAAAAGUCUUGCAAAGUGGUUAUUAUUGGCCUACAAUAUUCAGAGAUGCACACGACUAUGUGAGAAGGUGUGACCAAUGCCAACGUCAAGGUGUUAUUUCAAAACACCAUGAAAUGCCCAUGUCCACAAUCCUGGAGGUAGAACUCUUUGAUGUAUGGGGUAUUGAUUUCAUGGGACCAUUCGUAAAUUCGUUUGGAAUGAAGUACAUCUUGGUUGCUGUGGAUUAUGUGUCGAAAUGGGUUGAAGCUGUAGCAUUGGCCGAUAAUGAAGGAAAGCGUGUUGUAGCGUUUUUAAAGAAGAAUAUCUUCUCUCGCUUUGGGGUACCUCGUACUAUCAUAAGUGAUGGAGGAUCUCACUUCUGCAACAAGCUAUUCAAAUCUGUAUUGGCCAAGUAUGGAGUCAAGCAACACAAGGUAGCUACGCCUUAUCAUCCCCAAACUAGUGGACAAGUAGAGGUUUCCAAUCGGGAGAUCAAGCAAAUCCUUGCCAAGACGGUCAAUGCGAAUCGGAAGGAUUGGUCUCGGAAGCUAGAUGAUGCACUAUGGGCGUAUAGGACUGCAUUCAAGACACCCAUUGGCAUGUCACCUUAUCAGCUAGUUUAUGGGAAGGCUUGUCAUCUACCCAUCGAGCUUGAAUACAAGGCAUUAUGGGCAUUGAAGCACUUGAAUCUGAAUUGGGAUGAUGUGAAGAACCUGAGGUUGGAGCAGCUGAACGAGCUAGAUGAAUUCCGUCUCCAUGCUUAUGAAAGAUCAGAUUUAUACAAGGAGCGGAUGAAGAAGUAUCACGAUCAGCGGAUUGUUCGACGACACUUCCAAAAAGGUGACAUGGUGCUACUCUUUAACUCCAGAUUCAAGCUCUUCCCAGGUAAGUUAAAAUCAAAGUGGUCUGGUCCAUUUAAAGUCACCCACGUCUACUCGUUUGGAGUAGUCGAAUUGGAAAAUAAUGAGGGUGUUAUCUUCAAGGUGAAUGGCCAACGUGUUAAGCCAUAUAUCGGUCCUCUUGACUCGAUAAAUGACAUGGCCAUCACUUAUCUCGACGAAGUCUAAGUACUCGAGAUUACUACGUCGAGCCACGACAAUAAAUAAGGCGCUAGAUGGGAGGCAACCCUUCGUUUUAUUGUUUUAUCGUUUUGUCGUUUUAGUAUUUUUUCUUUUUGAUAAAUGAAAAUCCAAAAAUAAGAGUCGUGCCACGACCAAAACUAAGGCGCUUGGUGGGAGGCAACCCAUCGUACUAAUCGUUUUCAUUUGUUUGAGCAAAUAUAGGUGUAAGAAGUAUGCAACGAGGAGAUUGAUUUCAAUUGACGAUUUGGUCGCGUCGUAUGGUAAAGGCGGUAAGUUAGGAAUGGUGAUGCAUAAGGCUAUGAAUUGAGCCUUUCUCACGUCAUAAUAGGCUUCGAGGAAGGCUAGGCCUUGGUAAAAAUAGGCCACGAACGAUGCACAACCUAUUCUAUAGCCUAAGGACUCGGAAUCUAGUGUGCUAUACCCUAUGCGCCGCCUAUUCCUAGGUGUGCUUUUGACUAUGCGCCGCCUAUGUCCCAUUAUGCCAUGGACAAUGCGCCGCAUAUACAUGUGAUAUGCCGAGGGAUAUGCGCCGCAUAUAGGGUGAUUUUGUCCCCAAAUCCGAUUGUAAAUGGGUCAUAACCCGACCCAUACUCCUCCUAUAUAAAGGGGACUUGUUUUUAUUUCACAAACACAUUAGAAUCAACCCUAAAGGCGCCGCAUAUCAUCCCAAAUCCUCUCAAAUUUUUCUUCCUUUGUUCUUCCAAUCCACAACAACUUCUCCACAAUCUUCAAGCAAGUAAGUGCUCUCUUAUUCUUCAUCUAUUUAUCAUGAGUACUACUUUACUAUGCUUAUUAUUAAAUGCUAAAUCACGUGAGAUUAGUGGUGAUGUUCAUGUGCUUGGAUAAUUGUUGCAAAAAUCGUAUGAUUGAAUGAAUACGAAUGCAAUUCUUGACUUGUUUCCGACUUGAAUUUUGUUUCAAUGGCAUUGUUAUGAUACUUGCUGAACAUAUAUGGCUAUGAAUAUUGCUUGAAAGUGUUGUUUGGAUGCUUGCAUGAUUCACCACCCCGGCCAUCGGGAUACGGUUAUAGUGACUAUCCACGUAGGAGGUAGUGUUGGUUGUUCGAAUAGCAAUUCCAUGUGGUAACUCCUAUGUUAUAGUAUCGCUAUAUGCACCAUGAAAGACGUCCAAAUGGCUGUUCAUAAGUGAUGUCAUGCUGAUUUUCUUGUCGGAAUACAAUCCGAGGACGUAUGUCGACGAAGUCUGAGUACUCGACCACUUUCACUUCACUGAUUUUUGCUAACAAGAUUAAGUGUGGGGUGGUACCCCUAAUGCUUGCAUAUAGAAUUGUCUAAAGUGCGAUUGUGCCGCAUCUAACAUUAUUUCUAGUCUCAGGUACAAUGGCACCGAAAGCAAGGCAAGGCAAGGAGAAGGCUACCACAACCCGCAAGGACAAAAAGAGAAGCCGAAAAGACCAAGGCGAAUCAUCUUCCGCACACCUACCACGCAGAAUGUUCGGAAUCAAAUGGGUUCUUGAGGAAGAAGCCAAGGCAUGGUACAGCAGCAACAAAGAAAAGAAAUAUGUGCACGUCGACUUAAUCAAUAAGGAGACCUUAGCAAAGAAGGAGCCGCAAAUGUUGGCUAAGAUUAUGGCUUUGAAGCUGGAUUUCAUCUUCCGUGACAUGGGAGAGUGCAAUCUUGACUUGACAAGAGAGUUUUAUGCCAACUGGUCGCCAAACACAACAGGCAACGAAGUCAAAAUUCGGGGCCAAGUGUUACAGCUUACAGCGGAUUGGAUCAACUCGUUUCUAGGCCUACCUUCGGUCGACACUGCACCAUACAAAGAGCUGUACAGCAGACCUCCUUACAGAGCUAUAAGACACACGCUUUGUGGAAGCAGAUCGAUGGCGAGAUGGGGCAGACAUAAGGAAACAGGCCGUCACAACACAUUCCCCUAUGCUCCACUAAAUAGGGAAGCAAGAAUCUGGAUGCGCAUUGUCAACUCAUGCCUCAUUCCUGGGACGCAAUACACAAAGAUAUCGAGAGAUAGAGUGUGCCUGGUUUAUUCAUUAAUGACGAAUGUCCCUAUCAACUUUGGGGCAAUCAUUCGAUCCACCAUGAGGAAAGCCAGACUCCACAGCAGGUCCUAUUUCACAUUCGGCAAUUUGUUGACAGCAAUGUUGCGGAAGGAGGAUAUAGAAGAGGAACCAGCUGACCACAAACUCCCACAUACCCCAAAGAAGGUUGACCUCACCAAGGUCAAAGAUGCUGAAACAACGCAUGGAGUCAACCUUACCACUGCGGAGAGACAUGCUCGUGACGAGAGUUUCUUCCGUCAUCUCUAUGGCAUGACGAGAUUCACUAUGAUGAGUGGUGGACGUAUUCCAACUGCUGAAGAGCUCCAACAGCUGGACCACGACUACCCAAUGAACAGACAUGCCCGGGAGAUGUGUGGAGUGGGAGUAUAUUUCGAGGAACCUCUUGAUGAUGACGUGCCAACUGAUGAUGAUAGACGCUUGCCUGAUUCUGAUGCUGAGGAGAACUCUGACGAUGACUCUUACGAUGACUCGAACGAAGGGGGUAUGACAUUGAGGAAGAGUCCGACUAAUCAGGUUCUUCGACUUUAUUUUCCACUGAGGGCAGUGUCUAGUCUAAGUGUGGGGUGUCGGCAGAAUCUGCAUGCUAUAUUUGUAUGUUUGCUUGUUUAUUUUGUUUUAUUUAUUUUGUUUUGAGUCCGAUUUUUUUUGUGAUUUUUUUCGUGUGACGUUUUUUUUUAGUUUUUAGUAGUUAAAAUUUUUCUAGCCUCGCAUGAAAUUAUUUUAAUAGGCAGCAUGAGAUUAUAACAAUAGUAUGUAUUACAAUUGUGACUAUUGAGACAUUUAGGCUCUAGUUGUGACUCAUUAUGUGAUAGUGUGUGAUUCAAUUCCUUCACUUGUUGGGUUGAGAGUCUAUAUUGCUACCAAUCAAGUCGACCAUGUGCCUUGUGUGUGUGAGAUAAUAGUAUAUUCUAUGUAUGUGGCUGAUGCUAGAACUUGCCUGGUAUGUAUGCAAAGCGAAAAUAAGGAGUGUAAGUUUAGGAUAUGAUUUAGGCAUUUCUUUGGCAACCUAUAUUUGUUUACCUUCAGUUUUACCUACCCAUGGACAUCAUCCUAGUUAAACCCUUUUGAGCCUUUAGCCUAUUUCUUUGACAACCUUGUAUGUAAGCCUAAUUCAUUUUUUUUCAAGACCGUAAUUUGAUCCAAAUUCCUAAGUGCUUUAAAGUAAAAAAGUCAUGUGACAACAUAAGAGGAAAUUGGUUGAGUAUGAUGCUUUAAAUUGUAAUGGUGCUUGAAUAUGUUAUGAAAAAGAAAGUGCUAUCAUAAGAGGUAUGUUGUGAGAAGAAAAAGGAAAAGAAAGCUGAAAAGUGAGUUGUGCUUUAAAAUUGAAAAACAAAAGAGGAGAACAAGGGUGCUACAAAAAAAGUGUCAAUAAUACAAUGUGAUGUAUUAAAGUGCUUAGGAACUUAGUCACUAUUUCUGGCCAAAAUAGUUGAUCCUACCCGUCCCUUAGCCUACAUUACAACCAUCAAAAGACCUACUUGAUCCUAACCUUAACAUUCCGACAUUUAGUGGAGUACUACAUUAAGGGCAAGCCUAUGGUCAUUAGCUGCUACAUAUGAAUUCUUUGUGAGAGUGAGCGCAAGGAUACUUUGCUGCCCAUGUUUGAAAAAUAUGCUAUACUUGUGAGUGAUUAUGGGUACUAUAUUGUGAGACACACAUGGUUGAUGAGUUUUGGAUAGUUGUAUAUGAUUCUAUGUACCUUAAACGUUUGCAUGCGAGUUGAUCACCAUCACGAGUCUAUGCUUGAGGUUAAAUUGUUUCUACUUAUAAUCGGAAAGCUACUCUUCGUUGAUAAUUGUUGUGCUUGUCUUGAAGAAUGUUUUGUGUUGUUUCUGUAAAAACCUUAAGUCAAUGCUUAGAAGGACAUGAUAUGUUGUUCGAGGACGAACAAAGCUCUAAGUGUGGGGUGUUGAUGAUAGGCGAAAUUACGCGCCUAUAUCAAUAUAUUUUGCCCAUAUUUUAGCCUAGUUUCGAGAACUAAUUAUCUAUUUCGUACACUUUUAGUCCUUUUUCCUGUAAAUGAGCUAACAAAUGUGAUUAGGAAAGUUUCAGGUAUAAAUGAUGCAAAAUACAGCAAUUUAUGGCUUACUUGACGCAAAAGAAAGCUCACAAACGAGAUGGAAAGGAGCUGGACGCAUAAAGGACUAAAUCUGCUGCAUGGAAAAUCUGUCCCGGGCUAAAACAGCAUUUCUGAAGACUUUGGGACUUACAGACACAAAGCUGGAUUUUUGCCAUAAUACAUUAACCUAGUGCAAUUAGGUUAUGUGUUUCAUCAUUCUAUUUGGAUUAUAAUUUUGUAACCUUACCCUAGUACAAUUGGGUCAAGGAUUUCAUUAGUAUAUUAGGAUUUGGUUAUUUAUUUUAUUAGUUUAGUAGGAGUAGGAUAGGAGUAUUAUAAAUACCCUAUCAUGUUAGAGAUUUUCAAGAAGGGAGACAUUCUGACAAUUCAUUCAUCUCCUUACAAUUAAGACAUCUUCCUACAACCCAUUCUCAAUUCUUCAUUCUUCUACUCUUAAAUUCCACAACAAGAGAAUCGUUACUUGCUACGGAAUCACUAAAACCACACGCCAAACACCUACUAUUCACGCCAUCCACCAUGCAAAACGUGAUAUCCUUCGCAUUCAUGGGUAACUAAAUCUCUUAGUUGGGGUUAUGGAAGCCGAAUGAGUUACUAUCUAUAGCUAUGAGUUUGUGAGUUCAAGACAAGUAUAUUGCUUAUAUCAUUAUUCUCUUCAUCUUAAAUCUACAUUCUUUGCGGUUCAAACACAAGAACACGCCAUUCUAACAUCUAACCUGUUCGAGAGAAAGGUUAUUUGUCUAGAAAAGAAGACGCAUAGACCAACGCCAGUCUAACAUCUGACUUGUUCGAGAGAAAAGUUAUUUGUCUGGAAAAGAGAUAAUGUCAAGGUAGUAGGACACCCUUUCCUAUUAAAAAGCUAGUGCCGUACCUGGACUAACUUCUUGGAGAAUUCGUACCGUUAGUCACGCUUUAAGCUCGAGAGAGUUAAAGUGAAAUAGUCCUUGUUUAGGUCGAGAGACGCUUGGAUUUACCAUCGCCUACAAUUCUCUAUAAGAAAUUACAUGUCAAGACUCUACACACUCAUAGCCAAUAGAGACGUAUACCUCAGAAGGUGGACAUAACCCCAACGCCUCAAUUCUCAUUGUUUACAACACACGUGACAAUCUCUCUUUAUUUUGCUAUUUUCAGUUCUUACAUUCUUGUUUUGGUUACAUACUACAAUCCCCCCUUUCCUACGAGAC